CGGUAGCUCAGCUGGCAGAGCAACGGACUUUUAAUCCGUAGGUCGUGGGUUCGAGACCCACCCG
RNAcentral lists this transfer RNA (64 nucleotides) under marine eukaryotic metagenome. It matches the Rfam family "tRNA", at positions 5 to 66 of the family's 71-position model. Rfam says of the family: Transfer RNA (tRNA) molecules are approximately 80 nucleotides in length. Their secondary structure includes four short double-helical elements and three loops (D, anti-codon, and T loops). Further hydrogen bonds mediate the characteristic L-shaped molecular structure. tRNAs have two regions of fundamental functional importance: the anti-codon, which is responsible for specific mRNA codon recognition, and the 3' end, to which the tRNAs corresponding amino acid is attached (by aminoacyl-tRNA synthetases). tRNAs cope with the degeneracy of the genetic code in two manners: having more than one tRNA (with a specific anti-codon) for a particular amino acid; and 'wobble' base-pairing, i.e. permitting non-standard base-pairing at the 3rd anti-codon position. The record is from RNAcentral.